UGGGGAAUAUUGCACAAUGGGCGCAAGCCUGAUGCAGCCAUGCCGCGUGUGUGAAGAAGGCCUUCGGGUUGUAAAGCACUUUCAGCGAGGAGGAAGGUGGUGAGCUUAAUACGCUCAUCAAUUGACGUUACUCGCAGAAGAAGCACCGGCUAACUCCGUGCCAGCAGCCGCGGUAAUACGGAGGGUGCAAGCGUUAAUCGGAAUUACUGGGCGUAAAGCGCACGCAGGCGGUUUGUUAAGUCAGAUGUGAAAUCCCCGGGCUCAACCUGGGAACUGCAUUUGAAACUGGCAAGCUAGAGUCUCGUAGAGGGGGGUAGAAUUCCAGGUGUAGCGGUGAAAUGCGUAGAGAUCUGGAGGAAUACCGGUGGCGAAGGCGGCCCCCCUGGACGAAGACUGACGCUCAGGUGCGAAAGCGUGGGGAGCAAAACAGGAUUAGAUACCCUGGUAGUCCACGCUGUAAACGAUGUCGAUUUGGAGGUUGUGCCCUUGAGGCGUGGCUUCCGGAGCUAACGCGUUAAAUCGACCGCCUGGGGAGUACGGCCGCAAGGUUAAAACUUAAAUGAAUUGACGGGGUCAUAGCUGUUUCCU
This 588-nucleotide ribosomal RNA is filed under the name uncultured bacterium. RNAcentral's name for it is "partial 16S ribosomal RNA". It matches the Rfam family "Bacterial small subunit ribosomal RNA", at positions 355 to 1375 of the family's 1533-position model. The record is from RNAcentral.